Molecule: transfer RNA, 67 nt
Filed under: Marmota monax (woodchuck)
Lineage: Eukaryota; Metazoa; Chordata; Mammalia; Rodentia; Sciuridae
Description: tRNA.Ala
Source: RNAcentral
GGAUUGUGGCUCAGUGGUAGAGCGCUCCUCUUGCAUGGGCGGGACCCAGGUUUGAUCCUCAGCACCA